AAUAUAUAUAAAUGCAAACUCUUCUCGAAAAAUUAAACAGUUUCAAUUGUGGGUCGUUUGAAGUAGUUAAAGUUCUCGGUUUUUGAAGAGAAAGAUGAAGUUGUUCUGUGCCAUUUUCGUUGCUCUGUGCUUAUUCGUGUUGUCGACUUCGGCUGCAGGUCGAAGCGAUGGAGAAAGAUGUACAUUAGAUACCCAAUGUGCAGAUGCAUUAGCAUGCAAAGAUCGUCGCUGCAAAAAUCCUUGCGCUGACAAAGUGUGUGCCGCCAAUGCUGUAUGCACAGCAACCAAUCAUGUCGGCGUUUGUAGCUGUGCAAGUGGCUACAGCGGCCACCCGCUUACCGAAUGUAGCAGAGAAGAAUCGUGUACAUAUAACGUACAGUGCGACUCAAAUCGGGCGUGUAGAAACGGAAAAUGUGUCAACCCGUGUCUCACUGAUCAAACUUGCAAGAACAAAAAUUGCAAAGUCUUAAACCAUACUCCUGAAUGCUGAAAAACAACCAAAUUACCAAUUUAUAUACCUAGCAUCUCAAACAAGAUGGUUGUCUCUUUUUCAAGUGUCAAUGAAACUAAAAAGUGAAAUGAAAUGUAAUAAAAUUCAAUGUGAAUAAAACCAAUCAAAUUUGACACAGUGAAAAAAUCA
Sitodiplosis mosellana (orange wheat blossom midge) is the source of this 640-nucleotide long non-coding RNA. RefSeq lists it as uncharacterized. The transcript is spliced from 3 exons. NCBI's taxonomy places the organism in Eukaryota, Metazoa, Arthropoda, Insecta, Diptera, Cecidomyiidae. The record is from RefSeq and is a predicted model, not a curated record.